GCCCCUGUGGCUCAGUGGUUAGAGUAGCGGUUUUGUAAACCGUUGGUCGGGAGUUCGAAUCUCCCCAGGGGCU
This 73-nucleotide transfer RNA is filed under the name Candidatus Iainarchaeum sp. Its description in RNAcentral is "tRNA-Thr". It matches the Rfam family "tRNA". Rfam says of the family: Transfer RNA (tRNA) molecules are approximately 80 nucleotides in length. Their secondary structure includes four short double-helical elements and three loops (D, anti-codon, and T loops). Further hydrogen bonds mediate the characteristic L-shaped molecular structure. tRNAs have two regions of fundamental functional importance: the anti-codon, which is responsible for specific mRNA codon recognition, and the 3' end, to which the tRNAs corresponding amino acid is attached (by aminoacyl-tRNA synthetases). tRNAs cope with the degeneracy of the genetic code in two manners: having more than one tRNA (with a specific anti-codon) for a particular amino acid; and 'wobble' base-pairing, i.e. permitting non-standard base-pairing at the 3rd anti-codon position. The record is from RNAcentral. Lineage: Archaea; Nanobdellati; Candidatus Iainarchaeota; Candidatus Iainarchaeia; Candidatus Iainarchaeales; Candidatus Iainarchaeaceae.